UAGGGAAUCUUCGGCAAUGGGGGCAACCCUGACCGAGCAACGCCGCGUGAGUGAAGAAGGUUUUCGGAUCGUAAAGCUCUGUUGUAAGAGAAGAACGUGUGUGAGAGUGGAAAGUUCACACCGUGACGGUAACUUACCAGAAAGGGACGGCUAACUACGUGCCAC
Molecule: ribosomal RNA, 165 nt
Filed under: uncultured bacterium
Lineage: Bacteria
Description: partial 16S rRNA
Rfam family: Bacterial small subunit ribosomal RNA
Source: RNAcentral